This 719-nucleotide long non-coding RNA is filed under the name Homo sapiens (human). RNAcentral's name for it is "non-protein coding lnc-ZNF727-8:1". The record is from RNAcentral. Lineage: Eukaryota; Metazoa; Chordata; Mammalia; Primates; Hominidae.
CAAGAUAAAGAGAUGGACAUUUUAGCAAAACUAAGUGAAAACCUUGUAAAAUUUUUGGAUUAUGUUUCUACAUUUAAACAUCUACUGGGGGAGGUAGAGGCCAAUUCUAUGCAGUUCAAACCUGGAAUUGCUGACAGAUGUUAAGGGUAUGCUCCACAGGUAUUGAUGCCUAAAAUGCCCUGAACUCUUUUCAUUUAGAUUAACAAAAAUAUGGUUUUAGUUUUCCUCCUCUAUAUUCUGGCUUAGACAGAAUUAUCAAGCUAUUUCAAGUGGAUUUGAUUCUAGAUCUUGCCUUGGUUCUAGAUCUUGACACAGCACAUCCUCAACUUACUGUCUCCGAGAAUAGAAAAGCUGUGUGAUAUGGAAGAACAAAACCAAACAUUUGUUAUAGCUCAAGGAGAUUUUAUUUCUGCCCUGCUGUCCUGGGCUGUCAGAAGUGUAGUUCUGGCAGAAAUUACUAGAAGGUAGAAGUGGGAAACGAUCCUAAAUGAAAAUUGGGUGUGUGUUAAGACUGUCUUCUUAGGAACUGGCAGAAUCGGCCUUCAGUUCUGGGUAGAUUUUGGGCAAUUGGGUGAUAUAUAGAUAGAGUGGUUAUGUUGCAUCAGGUCCUAAGGCAACUCAGCUUCUGCUAGUAGUAAAAUCCAGUAAGAUUGGUAUUUUUUUGGACUAUGAAUUGGGUGAUUUUUUAAAAUAAUAAUUUUUAAAAUAUGUCAAUUUUG